GUUGUGUUGAUUAGAUAGGGAUACUCAUCAAAUAAUAUCGAAAACCGAUGUUGCCACUCCUGCUAAUGGCGGGCCACACUAAAGGGCGAACAACCCGAGCUGUAAAGCCAGUGGAUUACAAAGGCGGAGAGCACUCAAAUCUUACAGAUUAGGAGUUUUCAUCACAUCAUUGGCACGACUC
This 181-nucleotide small RNA is filed under the name uncultured Prevotella sp. Its description in RNAcentral is "Bacteroidales-1 6S-Bacteroidales RNA suggested". It matches the Rfam family "Bacteroidales-1 6S-Bacteroidales RNA suggested". Lineage: Bacteria; Pseudomonadati; Bacteroidota; Bacteroidia; Bacteroidales; Prevotellaceae. The record is from RNAcentral.